UACGUAGGGUGCGAGCGUUGUCCGGAAUUAUUGGGCGUAAAGGGCUCGUAGGCGGUUUGUCGCGUCGGGAGUGAAAACACCGGGCUUAACUCGGUGCUUGCUUCCGAUACGGGCAGACUAGAGGUAUGCAGGGGAGAACGGAAUUCCUGGUGUAGCGGUGAAAUGCGCAGAUAUCAGGAGGAACACCAGUGGCGAAGGCGGUGCUCUGGGCCGGAACUGACGCUGAGGAGCGAAAGCGUGGGGAGCAAACAGG
This 253-nucleotide ribosomal RNA is filed under the name uncultured bacterium. Its description in RNAcentral is "partial 16S ribosomal RNA". It matches the Rfam family "Bacterial small subunit ribosomal RNA", at positions 524 to 776 of the family's 1533-position model. The record is from RNAcentral.